CCUACGGGAGGCAGCAGUGGGGAAUCUUGCGCAAUGGGCGAAAGCCUGACGCAGCAACGCCGCGUGCGGGAAGAAGGCUUUCGGGCUGUAAACCGCUUUCAGCAGGAACGAAAAUGACGGUACCUGCAGAAGAAGGAGCGGCCAACUAUGUGCCAGCAGCCGCGGUGAUACAUAGGCUUCAAGCGUUGUCCGGAUUUAUUGGGCGUAAAGAGUUCGUAGGCGGUCAAGUAAGUCGGGUGUGAAAAUUCUGGGCUCAACCCAGAGACGCCACCCGAUACUGCUUAACUUGAGUUCGAUAGGGGAGUGGGGAAUUCCUAGUGUAGCGGUGAAAUGCGCAGAUAUUAGGAGGAACACCGGUGGCGAAGGCGCCACUCUGGAUCGAUACUGACGCUGAGGAACGAAAGCAUGGGUAGCAAACAGGAUUAGAUACCCUGGUAGUCCAUGCCGUAAACGGUGGGCACUAGGUGUGGGUUUCUAUUAACGAAAUCCGCGCCGUCGCUAACGCAUUAAGUGCCCCGCCUGGGGAGUACGGUCGCAAGCUAAAACUCAAAGGAAUUGACGGCUGGAGAGNGCGAGCGACGACGAGGAGAG
Molecule: ribosomal RNA, 591 nt
Filed under: uncultured bacterium
Lineage: Bacteria
Description: bacterial SSU rRNA
Rfam family: Bacterial small subunit ribosomal RNA
Source: RNAcentral